Molecule: ribosomal RNA, 468 nt
Filed under: uncultured bacterium
Lineage: Bacteria
Description: partial 16S ribosomal RNA
Rfam family: Bacterial small subunit ribosomal RNA
Source: RNAcentral
GACGAACGCUGGCGGCGUGCUUAACACAUGCAAGUCGAACGGAAAGGCCCUGCUUUUGUGGGGUGCUCGAGUGGCGAACGGGUGAGUAACACGUGAGUAACCUGCCCUUGACUUUGGGAUAACUUCAGGAAACUGGGGCUAAUACCGGAUAGGAGCUCCUGCUGCAUGGUGGGGGUUGGAAAGUUUCGGCGGUUGGGGAUGGACUCGCGGCUUAUCAGCUUGUUGGUUGGGUAGUGGCUUACCAAGGCUUUGACGGGUAGCCGGCCUGAGAGGGUGACCGGCCCCAUUGGGACUGGGAUACGGCCCAGACUCCUACGGGAGGCAGCAGUGGGGAAUAUUGCCCAAUGGGCGGAAGCCUGAUGCAGCAACGCCGCGUGCGGGAUGACGGCCUUCGGGUUGUGAACCGCUUUCGCCUGUGACGAAGCGUGAGUGACGGUAAUGGGUAAAGAAGCACCGGCUAACUACGUG